AUAACAAAGUAAAUUUAAAGUAGAGGGAAAAGAAAGAUUAAAUUUUAUAAAAAAAAUUCAAACCAACAAAUUAGGAGAUGAGUGGAGAAAAUUAAAAAAAAAGUGAAGUCUAAACCUUUUCAAGCAGCACCAUCGCGUUCAAAACUACCCUAAAUCGUCUCCUUCAUUUCCCCCCUUCAUUCUUCUCCCCUUAAUCAACCCAGCGUCCCAUAAUCAACCCAGCCAGCAAUCAACCGCCGCGCUUAACGAAUCGUCGCAACGUGGUAUCCUCCCGCCACGGCUUCUUCCGCAUCUUUCCCCAUAAAAUAUUUGGCAAGUAGAUUUCUAUCUUAAAUCUCUUGAUAUGAAUUGUUAUUGUUCAUUCUGUAGUUACGGUUCAGAUUCUUCUUUAAUAUAUCAUAUACAAUUCUUGUUUUAAAUUAAAACUUGCCUGGUAAAAUGUUUUCGACCAAACCCAGUUUGCGGCGAAGAUGGGGUUACCUAUUGGUGCGGCUGUGCGGAUGCUCAUUGUGCGGGUACUUGGGUCGUGAAAUUAGGGUAUUUUGAUGUGGGAAGUGGUGGGUCGAGUCCAUUGUAGUCGGGUCUAGCUCUUCUUUUGGUUCAUAUAAUUUUUCUUAGUUAUUGGGUUUUCUGUUCUUUGUGGUUUGCUUUGAUAUUUUGAGGGAAUUACUUGGGACUUUAAAGCAAUAUCACUUAGGGUUGUAACCAAGACGUUGUGUUGAUCUUGAUCUAUGCGUUUGGUGUGUAGCUUUUCUCAAUUUUUGUGUAUGAUUCUCUUGAUUUAAAUAUAGGGAUUCGAUGAACUAACGGAUUCAUUUUUGUAUAUAAAAUUGUAAUGAAAUUGAGAAUUGACAAAUUCAUUAUGGGAAAUGAAAUUCUUUACUUUGAUGCAUUGUUUAUGAUUUUAGAUGUUGCUUUAUUUUUUGCAUUGGAUAAAUUUUGAUGGAUGUUGCUUUAUUUGAUAAAGUUUGAGUGUAACAUAAGACAACAUUUAGUAGCAAUCUUAACAUUGCAACUUUUGGACAAGCAGUUAUAUGUAUUGGAAAUGUAGCACCCAGCAGUUCCUUGGUCAGAAACAAUAAAACUGGUCUCCAGAACACUUGGGGCAUCACUUGUAAGAAAACGACUCAAACCACUUAGGAAAGUAAAUGAAACUAAAUUGAUUGAUUAUUAUGUGAGGUGGAACCAAAUCAUAUUAAUAAGGUGGUGGAACAAUUGAUCUUGAACCUUGCUUCACGUAUACAUCUGCAAUUCAGCUUACUUUGGCUCCUCAAUCACCACUGGAGCUGCAGCCUCAGUAACUUUGGAUUGAUUUUUUUAUCAAUGACCACUAGAAUUGUGUUCUUUUAAUCUUUGUAAUGAUGUACAUAUGCAUAUAUUUAUACUCAAUAUACAAUGUAUGUUUGAAUGUCUUUGAUUAAGUUUACACUGUUAGUGAUUGAUUUCUAUUUAUUUUGUCAUUAUUAUUA
Long non-coding RNA from Amaranthus tricolor (Joseph's coat), 1469 nucleotides. RefSeq lists it as uncharacterized. The record is from RefSeq and is a predicted model, not a curated record. The transcript is spliced from 2 exons. NCBI's taxonomy places the organism in Eukaryota, Viridiplantae, Streptophyta, Magnoliopsida, Caryophyllales, Amaranthaceae.